GAUGAACGCUGGCGGCGUGCCUAAUACAUGCAAGUCGAACGGGUUCUGAUUAUUGAAAGGUGCUUGCAUCUUGAUUUAAUUUUGAACGAGUGGCGGACGGGUGAGUAACACGUGGGUAACCUGCCCUUAAGUGGGGGAUAACAUUUGGAAACAGAUGCUAAUACCGCAUAAAUCCAAAAACCGCAUGGUUCUUGGCUGAAAGAUGGCGUAAGCUAUCGCUUUUGGAUGGACCCGCGGCGUAUUAGCUAGUUGGUGAGGUAACGGCUCACCAAGGCAAUGAUACGUAGCCGAACUGAGAGGUUGAUCGGCCACAUUGGGACUGAGACACGGCCCAAACUCCUACGGGAGGCAGCAGUAGGGAAUCUUCCACAAUGGACGCAAGUCUGAUGGAGCAACGCCGCGUGAGUGAAGAAGGCUUUCGGGUCGUAAAACUCUGUUGUUGGAGAAGAAUGGUCGGCAGAGUAACUGUUGUCGGCGUGACGGUAUCCAACCAGAAAGCCACGGCUAACUACGUGCCAGCAGCCGCGGUAAUACGUAGGUGGCAAGCGUUAUCCGGAUUUAUUGGGCGUAAAGCGAGCGCAGGCGGUUUUUUAAGUCUGAUGUGAAAGCCCUCGGCUUAACCGAGGAAGUGCAUCGGAAACUGGGAAACUUGAGUGCAGAAGAGGACAGUGGAACUCCAUGUGUAGCGGUGAAAUGCGUAGAUAUAUGGAAGAACACCAGUGGCGAAGGCGGCUGUCUGGUCUGUAACUGACGCUGAGGCUCGAAAGCAUGGGUAGCGAACAGGAUUAGAUACCCUGGUAGUCCAUGCCGUAAACGAUGAAUGCUAGGUGUUGGAGGGUUUCCGCCCUUCAGUGCCGCAGCUAACGCAUUAAGCAUUCCGCCUGGGGAGUACGACCGCAAGGUUGAAACUCAAAGGAAUUGACGGGGGCCCGCACAAGCGGUGGAGCAUGUGGUUUAAUUCGAAGCAACGCGAAGAACCUUACCAGGUCUUGACAUCUUUUGAUCACCUGAGAGAUCGGGUUUCCCCUUCGGGGGCAAAAUGACAGGUGGUGCAUGGUUGUCGUCAGCUCGUGUCGUGAGAUGUUGGGUUAAGUCCCGCAACGAGCGCAACCCUUAUGACUAGUUGCCAGCAUUUAGUUGGGCACUCUAGUAAGACUGCCGGUGACAAACCGGAGGAAGGUGGGGAUGACGUCAAAUCAUCAUGCCCCUUAUGACCUGGGCUACACACGUGCUACAAUGGAUGGUACAACGAGUUGCGAGACCGCGAGGUCAAGCUAAUCUCUUAAAGCCAUUCUCAGUUCGGACUGUAGGCUGCAACUCGCCUACACGAAGUCGGAAUCGCUAGUAAUCGCGGAUCAGCACGCCGCGGUGAAUACGUUCCCGGGCCUUGUACACACCGCCCGUCACACCAUGAGAGUUUGUAACACCCGAAGCCGGUGGCGUAACCCUUUUAGGGAGCGAGCCGUCUAAGGUGGGACAAAUGAUUAGGGUG
Molecule: ribosomal RNA, 1492 nt
Filed under: Lacticaseibacillus rhamnosus
Lineage: Bacteria; Bacillati; Bacillota; Bacilli; Lactobacillales; Lactobacillaceae
Description: bacterial SSU rRNA
Rfam family: Bacterial small subunit ribosomal RNA
Source: RNAcentral